AAGGCCACCACGAGAUGUUACCUCCACAAAAAGAAGGUGAAGAUCAAGAGGCUUCCCUCCCACAGUGGGAACCCUGUACAAGCAUAAAUAGUAGGAAAAUUAUAAUCCGUAUUUUCAUAGAGUCUAUCUAAAAAGAAAAAAUCCAUAAAUGUUCAAUUUCUAAAUCAAAUUUGCCUGCAUUUAAAUGGAUAACCAAUGUCUAUAAGCAGAUGAUGAUACCAUUAAACAAGAAUGAAAAAGAAAAGAAAGGAAAAAUCCUCAGCUGGAUACAAUAAGGCACGAAGGGGAAUAUCACUAAUUAAAGCCAUAAGUUGGAAGAUAGCCACUUGUGAAGGUACCUUGUACUUCCAUAAAAAGUAGAAAAGAUAGAAGAUGCACUUACCGAAUUAAUCACCAUCUUAUAAAGGAUUGGUAUCUCAUAAUCAUCAUCCCACCACUCAUUAAUGCAUUAGAUAAGCACCUAAUCAGAUGAUCUUUGAGCUCUAUAUCUUUCUUCAACAGAGAUAAGGUCCAAGGUUAUGCCUAAGCUCCUAUAACAACUACCCAUAAAUGAGGUGAAAUGCUUAAAAAGCAACUGCUUUUAAAAGAGGUUGCUAAACCAUCAAAGCUUAAUAGAGCAUUAUAGAACUACAGUAUUAAAACAAAGUAGCAUAAUGAUAUGACACAGGCAUCUCAAGAACAAAAUCCGCAGAAAGAACAGAAGAGCUUCAUGGCAGACACCACAACAAAGAUAAAGAGCUUAUCUUGAAUAAAAAAAAAAUUGGAAGUAGCAAAUGGUUAAAUCUUAGCUACAAUUACAUAUCAAUCCCACGUUGAACUUUGAAAGGAGUGCCCCCUGCUUCAAAAAUUUAAGGAACUCAAGACUCUAGGAGAAAGCAACAUACUUUGCGAUUCUUAACCAUUUAAUUUUAAGUAAGAGAAUAGAAAAGCUGUUUGAAAUCUACCGUCUCACCAUUGAGUGCCAAAGUCACUCCCACAAGUAGAAUUUAGCAUAAACAAACAUUAAAAAAAAAUACUGGAUACUGAGCACCAAAAUCAGAAUAUGAGCAAAAACAAAAUUAAGACAAAACCAAUAUAUUCCUCAAAAUUACAAAGCAGAAUCACAAGAAACCAUAAAAAAAUAAGGACCCAGAUGGGGAAAAAACUGAAUAUUGCAAAUAAAUGAAGUUUGAUGAAAGGGUUUAUAGAAAAACCCACUUACAUGAAUUUGGUACCAAAGGAUUUGUGGAAAGCUUUGAGCUUU
This 1243-nucleotide unclassified non-coding RNA is filed under the name Hevea brasiliensis (rubber tree). The record is from RNAcentral. Lineage: Eukaryota; Viridiplantae; Streptophyta; Magnoliopsida; Malpighiales; Euphorbiaceae.